Mesitornis unicolor (brown roatelo) is the source of this 129-nucleotide small nucleolar RNA. It matches the Rfam family "Small nucleolar RNA SNORA65". From Rfam's summary of the family: U65 belongs to the H/ACA class of snoRNAs which are thought to guide the sites of modification of uridines to pseudouridines. The record is from Rfam. Lineage: Eukaryota; Metazoa; Chordata; Aves; Mesitornithiformes; Mesitornithidae.
CCUGCCACUGUACCUGCCCUGCAUCCCGUGGCUUGUACUUUCCAGUGGUGAGCUGAGAGGAAGCCCCAGCCCAGGAAGCAGCCCUCCCCUGGCUGUGGGGAGGCCUGUGCCGAAAGGCUGGGAACAAGU